UCAGGAUGAACGCUGGCGGUAUGCGUAACACAUGCAAGUCGAACGAAGUUUUUCGGAACUUAGUGGCGGACGGGUGAGUAACGCGUGAGAAUCUGCCUUAAGGAUUGGGACAACAGUGGGAAACCGCUGCUAAUACCAAAUAUGCCUUUUAGUGAAACGGGUAAAACCGCCUUAAGAUGAGCUCGCGUCUGAUUAGCUAGUUGGUGUGGUAAGAGCGCACCAAGGCAACGAUCAGUAGCUGGUCUGAGAGGACGACCAGCCACACUGGGACUGAGACACGGCCCAGACUCCUACGGGAGGCAGCAGUGAGGAAUUUUCCGCAAUGGGCGAAAGCCUGACGGAGCAAUACCGCGUGAGGGAGGAAGGUUCUUGGAUUGUAAACCUCUUUUCUCAGAGAAGAAUAAUGACGGUAUCUGAGGAAUAAGCAUCGGCUAACUCCGUGCCAGCAGCCGCAGUAAUACGGAGGAGGCAAGCGUUAUCCGGAAUUAUUGGGCGUAAAGCGUCCGUAGAUGGUUUUGUCAGUCUGCUGUCAAAGCACAGGGCUUAACCCUGUAAAGGCAGUGGAAACUACAAGACUAGAGUGCAGUAGGGGCAGAGGGAAUU
Molecule: ribosomal RNA, 603 nt
Filed under: uncultured bacterium
Lineage: Bacteria
Description: bacterial SSU rRNA
Rfam family: Bacterial small subunit ribosomal RNA
Source: RNAcentral